This 253-nucleotide ribosomal RNA is filed under the name uncultured bacterium. RNAcentral describes it as "partial 16S ribosomal RNA". It matches the Rfam family "Bacterial small subunit ribosomal RNA", at positions 524 to 776 of the family's 1533-position model. The record is from RNAcentral.
UACGUAUGGCGCAAGCGUUAUCCGGAUUUACUGGGUGUAAAGGGAGCGCAGGCGGCGCGUUAAGCCUGGUGUGAAAGCCCGCGGCCCAACCGCGGGACUGCAUUGGGAACUGGCGCGCUGGAGUGCCGGAGGGGUAGGCGGAAUUCCUAGUGUAGCGGUGAAAUGCGUAGAUAUUAGGAGGAACACCAGUGGCGAAGGCGGCCUACUGGACGGUGACUGACGCUGAGGCUCGAAAGCGUGGGGAGCAAACAGG